RNAcentral lists this ribosomal RNA (372 nucleotides) under uncultured organism. RNAcentral's name for it is "bacterial SSU rRNA". It matches the Rfam family "Bacterial small subunit ribosomal RNA", at positions 526 to 896 of the family's 1533-position model. The record is from RNAcentral.
CAGAGACUGCAUGCGUUAUUCGGAUUCACUGGGCGUAAAGGGUGCGCAGGCGGUUGGGUGUGUCAGAUGUGAAAUCCCGAGGCUCAACCUCGGAACUGCGUCUGAGACUACUCAACUAGAGUACUGGAGAGGGUAACGGAAUUCACGGUGUAGCAGUGAAAUGCGUAGAUAUCGUGAGGAACACCAGAGGCGAAGGCGGUUACCUGGACAGUUACUGACGCUCAGGCACGAAAGCAUGGGGAGCAAAAGGGAUUAGAUACCCCUGUAGUCCAUGCCCUAAACGGUGCACACUAGGUCUUAGCGGAUUCGACCCCACUAGGGCCCAAGCUAACGCGUUAAGUGUGCCGCCUGAGGACUACGGUCGCAAGACUA